GAUGAACGCUGGCGGCGCGCCUAACACAUGCAAGUCGAACGAUUAAAGCACCUUCGGGUGUGUAUAAAGUGGCGGACGGCUGAGUAACACGUGGGCAACCUGCCCCUUUCAUUGGGAUAGCCACGGGAAACCGUGGAUAAUACCGAAUACUUCGAGACUUCCGCAUGGAAGACUCGAGAAAGCUCCGGCGGAGAGGGAUGGGCCCGCGGCCUGUUAGCUUGUUGGUGGGGUAACGGCCUACCAAGGCAAUGAUGGGUAGCUGGGUUGAGAGACCGACCAGCCAGAUUGGGACUGAGACACGGCCCAGACUCCUACGGGAGGCAGCAGUGGGGAAUCUUGCACAAUGGGCGAAAGCCUGAUGCAGCGACGCCGCGUGCGGGAUGAAGGCCUUCGGGUUGUAAACCGCUUUCAGCAGGGACGAGGCGAAAGUGACGGUACCUGCAGAAGAAGCCCCGGCUAACUACGUG
Molecule: ribosomal RNA, 467 nt
Filed under: uncultured bacterium
Lineage: Bacteria
Description: partial 16S ribosomal RNA
Rfam family: Bacterial small subunit ribosomal RNA
Source: RNAcentral